RNAcentral lists this ribosomal RNA (440 nucleotides) under uncultured bacterium. RNAcentral's name for it is "partial 16S ribosomal RNA". It matches the Rfam family "Bacterial small subunit ribosomal RNA", at positions 338 to 795 of the family's 1533-position model. The record is from RNAcentral.
CCUACGGGUGGCAGCAGUGGGGAAUAUUGCACAAUGGGGGAAACCCUGAUGCAGCGACGCCGCGUGAGUGAAGAAGUAAUUCGUUAUGUAAAGCUCUAUCAGCAGGGAAGAAAAUGACGGUACCUGAGUAAGAAGCACAGGCUAACUACGUGCCAGCAGCCGCGGUAAUAAGUAGGGGGCAAGCGUAAUCCGGAUUUACUGGGUGUAAAGGGAGCGUAGACGGCAGUGCAAGUCUGGAGUGAAAGGCGGGGGCUCAACCCCCGGACGGCUCUGGAAACUGUACGGCUGGAGUGCAGGAGAGGUAAGUGGAAUUCCUAGGUGAGCGGUGAAAUGCGUAGAUAUUAGGAGGAACACCAGUGGCGAAGGCGGCUUACUGGACUGUAACUGACGUUGAGGCUCGAAAGCGUGGGGAGCAAACAGGAUUAGAUACCCGUGUAGUC